Molecule: transfer RNA, 66 nt
Filed under: Eucrate crenata
Lineage: Eukaryota; Metazoa; Arthropoda; Malacostraca; Decapoda; Goneplacidae
Description: tRNA-Arg
Source: RNAcentral
AAUUAGAAAGUGAAGUUUUACAUUUAGUUUCGACCUAAACCUUGGUUAUCAAUAAACCUCUAAUUA